This 649-nucleotide ribosomal RNA is filed under the name uncultured Actinomycetes bacterium. RNAcentral describes it as "bacterial SSU rRNA". It matches the Rfam family "Bacterial small subunit ribosomal RNA", at positions 229 to 888 of the family's 1533-position model. The record is from RNAcentral. Lineage: Bacteria; Bacillati; Actinomycetota; Actinomycetes.
AUUCGCGGCCUAUCAGCUUGUUGGUGAGGUUAUGGCUUACCAAGGCGACGACGGGUAGCCGGCCUGAGAGGGUGACCGGCCACACUGGGACUGAGAUACGGCCCAGACUCCUACGGGAGGCAGCAGUGGGGAAUAUUGCACAAUGGGCGCAAGCCUGAUGCAGCGACGCCGCGUGAGGGAUGACGGCCUUCGGGUUGUAAACCUCUUUCAGCAGGGACGAAGCGCAAGUGACGGUACCUGUAGAAGAAGGACCGGCCAACUACGUGCCAGCAGCCGCGGUAAUACGUAGGGUCCGAGCGUUGUCCGGAAUUACUGGGCGUAAAGAGCUCGUAGGUGGUUUGUCGCGUUGUUCGUGAAAACUCACAGCUCAACUGUGGGCGUGCGGGCGAUACGGGCAGACUUGAGUACUGCAGGGGAGACUGGAAUCCCUGGUGUAGCGGUGGAAUGCGCAGAUAUCAGGAGGAACACCGGUGGCGAAGGCGGGUCUCUGGGCAGUAACUGACGCUGAGGAGCGAAAGCGUGGGGAGCGAACAGGAUUAGAUACCCUGGUAGUCCACGCCGUAAACGGUGGGUACUAGGUGUGGGUUUCCUUCCUUGGGAUCCGUGCCGUAGCUAACGCAUUAAGUACCCCGCCUGGGGAGUACGGAAU